GAUGAAGAACGUAGCGAAAUGCGAUAAGUAAUGUGAAUUGCAGAAUUCAGUGAAUCAUCGAAUCUUUGAACGCACAUUGCGCCCCCUGGUAUUCCAGGGGGCAUGCCUGUUCGAGCGUCAUUUCACCACUCAAGCCUCGCUUGGUAUUGGGCAACGCGGUCCGCCGCGUGCCUCAAAUCGACCGGCUGGGUCUUCUGUCCCCUAAGCGUUGUGGAAACUAUUCGCUAAAGGGUGUUCGGGAGGCUACGCCGUAAAACAACCCCAUUUCUAAGGUUGACCUCGGAUCAGGUAGGGAUACCCGCUGAACUUAAGCAUAUCAAUAAGCGGAGGA
Molecule: unclassified non-coding RNA, 331 nt
Filed under: soil metagenome
Description: partial contains 5.8S ribosomal RNA, internal transcribed spacer 2, and large subunit ribosomal RNA
Rfam family: 5.8S ribosomal RNA (bases 1-120)
Source: RNAcentral